CCAACAUCAUUUGCUCCAUCACCAAUUGCCAGUGUUGUUUUACCUGUUUGUGUUUUCACCAGUCUUGUAACAAGGGCUUUAUGUUUUGGUGUAGAACGACAGCAUAUAACAGAAGCACAGCCAAGUGCAAGCUCCAAAAACUUCUUCUCCAGACUCUUGUCCAGCGCGAAAGCUAAAGACUUUCCAUCAAUCACUAAACCAAAUGUAAGUGAGCUUUCUUUAGCAGAAUUAAGUUGAGAUUUUCCGUCUCUUAUUUGUUCCGUCACACUUACAAGAGAAGCCUUAGAAACGGCAUCCUUAUCCCCUUGUUUUUCUAAAGCUUCAAUUUCUGGGGUGUCAAGAGUGAUAAUAAUCUGCUUCAUUUCCUGUCUCAGAAGACUACACGCAUACCCUAUAUUUAUUGCUGUUUCCAUCUUGUCGCCAGUUAAGACCCAUAUUUUAAUUCCAGCAUGUGCAAGCUUUUCAAUGCACUC
Molecule: unclassified non-coding RNA, 473 nt
Filed under: Hevea brasiliensis (rubber tree)
Lineage: Eukaryota; Viridiplantae; Streptophyta; Magnoliopsida; Malpighiales; Euphorbiaceae
Source: RNAcentral